This 353-nucleotide transfer-messenger RNA is filed under the name Anaerolineales bacterium. It matches the Rfam family "transfer-messenger RNA". Rfam says of the family: Bacterial tmRNA, also known as 10Sa RNA or SsrA, is named for its dual tRNA and mRNA-like properties. Lineage: Bacteria; Bacillati; Chloroflexota; Anaerolineae; Anaerolineales. The record is from RNAcentral.
ACAGGCUUCGACGGGAGAGGCUGGUUCCGGAAUGCGAGCCGAGCGCGCACCGACCUCGUAAAAUCAGUGCAAACAAUCAAGUGCCAAUAACCGCACUUACGCCGCUAUGCCCCUCGCCGCCUAGGCGAACAUAACGGUCGGCAUCCUUUGAUGAUGCCGCGUCCACCGUCCUCGUCCUCCACCCGGUGACGGCUCGGGCGAAACAAUGAUGGAGUGCCGCGUGUGAUUCUGCUAAACACGCUCAAGCCAAGCAGAUGGUCACAGGCUUACCUGCCCGCCGGGGCGCCUGUGGUGACGAUAAACGGCAGGCUACGCUCGUAGAGUUCCGAGAGUCGAAUCUUUCGGACGCGGGU